Molecule: ribosomal RNA, 453 nt
Filed under: uncultured bacterium
Lineage: Bacteria
Description: SSU rRNA
Rfam family: Bacterial small subunit ribosomal RNA
Source: RNAcentral
AGAGCGAACGCUGGCGGCAGGCCUAACACAUGCAAGUCGAGCGCCCGUAGCAAUACGGGAGCGGCAGACGGGAUAGUAACACGUGGGAACGCGCCCUUCGGUUCGGAAUAACUCAGGGAAACUUGAGCUAAUACCGGAUACGCCCUUACGGGGAAAGAUUUAUUGCCGAAGGAACGGCCCGCGUCCGAUUAGCUAGUUGGUGAGGUAAUGGCUCACCAAGGCGACGAUCGGUAGCUGGUCUGAGAGGAUGACCAGCAUCACUGGGACUGAGACACGGCCCAGACUCCUACGGGAGGCAGCAGUGGGGAAUAUUGGACAAUGGGCGCAAGCCUGACGCAGCGACGCCGCGUGAGGGAUGAAGGCCUUCGGGUUGUAAACCUCUUUCAGCAGGGACGAAGCGAAAGUGACGGUACCUGCAGAAGAAGCACCGGCUAACUACGUGCCAGCAGCCGC